CCCUUAGAUGUUCUGGGCUGCUCGCGCGCUACACUGAAGCUAUCAACACGUUUUCCCUCCCUGAGAAGGGCGGGUAACCUUUUGAAUCAGCUUCGUGGUAGGGAUCGGGGCUUGCAAUUGUUCCCCGUGAACCAGGAAUUCCUAGUAGACGCGAGUCAUAAGCUCGCAUCGAUUAAGUCCCUGCCCUUUGUACACACCGCCCGUCGCUACUACCGAUUGAACGUUUUAGUGAGGCAUUUGGACCGACGCAUCUCAGUUUAACCGCUGGUUUGUGUUGGAAAGACUUCCAAACUUGAGCGUUUAGAGGAAGUAAAAGUCGUAACA
This 324-nucleotide ribosomal RNA is filed under the name uncultured eukaryote. Its description in RNAcentral is "partial 18S ribosomal RNA". It matches the Rfam family "Eukaryotic small subunit ribosomal RNA", at positions 1470 to 1796 of the family's 1831-position model. The record is from RNAcentral.